Long non-coding RNA from Thalassophryne amazonica, 232 nucleotides. RefSeq lists it as uncharacterized. The record is from RefSeq and is a predicted model, not a curated record. The transcript is spliced from 3 exons. Lineage: Eukaryota; Metazoa; Chordata; Actinopteri; Batrachoidiformes; Batrachoididae.
AGCCAUCAACACCUAAACAGAAAAAAACAAGGUUACAAUGGGCUAAGGAAAAGCAAUCGUGGACUGUGGAUGACUGGAUGAAAGUCAUAUUCAGUGAUGAAUCUCGAAUCUGCAUUGGGCAAAUAUGCCAGACAAUGUUUGGGCAUGCUGCUUUACUGAAUAUGAGACUGAAAAGUAUCAACCUGACUAGUAAGAACAGGUUCAGUAUGACAUUAUACCUCUACCAUACAGU